UUGAAUGCCAGGCACCCGUCCUCAACUCGCUUACCUUCCAGUAACCUAUCCCAGGAGACUUUCCCCAGUCUGGCCUUCAGUUGGCCAAAGUCGGCCCUCUUGAAGUCCCAGCUUCUAGUGCUCGAUCUGCUGCCCCUCCGCAGUCCCCUGAUAACAAAGCAGAGGAUGGAGUGAUCACUCGCAUCCAGAGCUCCCCUAAUCUGUACUUCAUCUAUCAGCUCCUCCCUGUUGGUCAAGACCAAGUCAAGGAUGUUUUCCCCCCUCGUUGUCUCUCGGACCCUGCGUGUGAAAACCCUCCCGCUACAGCUUCCAGGAAGUGACGUGACCUGGCUGUCACCGCCGAGUGAGUAUCCCAAGUAAUAUCCGGGAGAUUGAAAUCUCCCAUAAUUACUGUGUCUCUCCCAUGAGAUAUCCUCAGAAUCUGGCCUGUCAGGACAUCACCCAGGGUCUCAAGUUGACCUGGAGGGCGAUAACAUACCCCACUGCCAGGUCUGUUUCCCUGCCAAAACCCCUAAGCUUCACCCAGACAGCCUCUGUCGAAAGAAAAAUGUCCUCUUUCCAC
Long non-coding RNA from Varanus komodoensis (Komodo dragon), 562 nucleotides. RefSeq lists it as uncharacterized. The transcript has 4 exons. The record is from RefSeq and is a predicted model, not a curated record. NCBI's taxonomy places the organism in Eukaryota, Metazoa, Chordata, Lepidosauria, Squamata, Varanidae.